Molecule: long non-coding RNA, 1228 nt
Filed under: Pan troglodytes (chimpanzee)
Lineage: Eukaryota; Metazoa; Chordata; Mammalia; Primates; Hominidae
Description: long non-coding RNA NONPTRT007850
Source: RNAcentral
GCGGAGUGGGCAGCGAGCGCGACCGAAAGUUCCAACUCCACCAAACUCCCGCGCGCGGCCCACCCUGUUCCCGGGAUUUCGGGGAUGACACGGGGGCCAGGUGAGGGGGCUGCGCACUUUUGGAUCGGCCCCACACACUCGGGCAGCUGGCGCGGCGCGCUCCCCGCACACGCGCCCGCCCCCUCUCCCGCGGUCGCACGCACGCGCCCGCGCCCUCGCCCUCGCCCCGCGCGCACAGGCGCGUACUCCCACCCGCGGCCGUGCACCCGCCGCGCUCCCUCCCGCGCGUGUCCUCUCUCCCCGAGCGGCCGCCAGGAUGUGCCCCCGGCCCCGUCGUCGCGGCGCCCGCGCCCCUCGCCCCAGUGUGGACGUGGGGAGGAUCUUCUAAGUCCCUCCAACGAAGGCAAGUGUGAGACUCUGGCCCUUUAUUUGUAAGAAGCAAGCCUUCAGAUUGCAGAAGUGUCGCGCGGGUCGCCAUGCGUUGCGCGAGUGGGAAGAUGGAGGAGGCCGGCACGCUGCUUUCGUGGACGCAAGUGAACCGGCCGUGAAGGCAGGGUGCGAGCUCUGCCCUUGGCCCAGCCCUGCGUGGGCGCCGUCCCAGAUUCCGGGCGGUGCGGGGUGCAGAGAUCUGGAGAGAGUUGCGGGGUGCAGAGAUCUGGAGAGACUUGCGGGCUCCCCAGCGCAGGCUGCUCUGGGAUUUCGUUGGAAGAUCCGGCAGAGCCUUGGAGGAGAGGGCCCGGGAGGCUGUGUGUGCAGCGGAAACUUGUACGAAUGCCCCCACAGCGGAAAUGGUGCGCACGAGUAAUUUCUGCGGUGCACCCUUUUAAAAAUUGACAAGUGAACAAGAUCAAUUUUUUAAGAAAGCAAAGGUAGAAAACAAAAGGCGUGCGACUUCUUGACUGGCUUGUUCCCGCCUUUCUUCCUUCUCUAUACUCAGAUCAGAAACUUUAAUUGCUCUUAUUCAGUGCGACAACUUUUAAUAAAAGCAUUUGCAUUUUAAGCCUGAGUUGCAACCAUAGAUUUGUUGCGAAGUGACAACGUGUCUAUGGAAUAUUUUCGCAGAUGAGACAGGACAUGCGCUCUAGUCGUGCCCAGAUUAAAGGGACGCUGGUCCAUGUGCCUGUGUAGUGCAGACUCGGAGGGGCACACACAUACUCGUCAUCACAUGACCACUGUCUAUUAAUAUUGUCAUACCUAAACACUCGCAAAAACAAAAGUUGCUUUUCUU